CACAAAUUAAAAUUGGCUUGCUAGAGCCCGCAAUUGUUUUUCAGCCCACUCACUCAACAAUUACACAAUCUUGACAAAAUCCCAGGUUGCAAAAAAUUAUAUUGUCAAACUCAUACAUCCAGGUAGCAAUAUACAUCACGCUACAUCUAAGUCACAUGUCCAAAAUGACAAAGAACCAUAGCCAUUUCAACAUCUUGAAUAUUCAUCAAACUAACAAAAAGAGUUGUAGCUACCCCUAAACAUUACUGAGGCUUUUCACUUUACUAAGACAUCCUCCAUACCACACUAUUAACCAAUCUGAAAGAAGCAAAUGGUAGCCAAAUUAGUCAAAGAUAUAAAGAUUAGAGUUAGCUCUAGGUUCAUGCAUAUCUAUUGGACAGAACCAAGCUCCCUGGUCAACAUAUAACAAUUAAUGAAAUAAAUCUAUCCAUAAAAGUAAUACUACUACUAGGAUGUACCCUGAAAAGCUCCCUGUUCAUAAUUUUAAAAUAUUGUCCAUUUAUGUGACACUGAGACUGUACAGCAUUACAGAACCAUAGUAUCUUAACUAUAUAGAAAAGCCAAUAAACAGUAGAAAUAGUUGGUCAAUGAAGGGGUUACUUGAGGCUUGCAGAUGGAGUGAGUAAAAAACGUGCUCUUAACAUAAACCUGCAACCAUGGCACCAGGAUAGCUGAUCAAAACAUUGACAACUACCAAGCAAAUGUCAUCCUGUUUUCUAGAAGAAAAAAAUAUAACAACACCACGAGACAUUCUUCUACAGUUAAUAGAUGAAUGUCAGAAGACCAAAUUUUCACAAGAGUAGAACAUGCUACGGUACUGUGAGAGCGAGUUGAAGAGGCCAAGGCUAGCUCCCCCAUGGUCGGCUAGCCACCGCCGCCGGCCGCUGGCCGUCGUCGGCCACCCACCUCCCCCACCCACCCCAGCCUCCUCCUUCCCUCGUCCCCGCGGCUCCUCCAGUCGGUCUCCGACCUGCUCCUCCCGGCGAUCGGAGUCCUUGCUGGUCCAACUUUGGUUGUUUCCUCGACGUCAGUUCCCUCCACACAGAUCUCUUCGUCCGAAUGGGAGGCCUCUCAGAUCUCUGCUUCGCUCAUGGUUUAGAAUUUGAAAGAGUGGUGGAUCGCUGUUUCAAAUGCUCGGUGAGUCCUACACCUCUCAGCUCCCCCUCUAAUUUCCAUCUGCUCCUCAGCUCUGGCCGAUCUGCCAUUCGUUUGAAUGAAGAUUCAGUUGCUCUGAUUCUCCAAGCCUGUUUGGGGGGAGUUGCAAAGGAUUUCAAUGUUUGCCAUCUCUCGGGUUGGAUGUUCAAAUUCACUGUUUCUUGCAAAAAAAUGGGUCUUAUGGUUUACAAGCUUAAUAACUUCUCCUACAAAUCUUAUUCUCUCUUCUUUGCCCUGUGGCGAGAAGGGGGACCAAAUUGGAGAAAGCAAUACGAUCUGUUUUGCAAAGAACAGGAAGAUGAGUGGUUUUUAAUCGGUGCCAAAGGCAAAAUAAGAAGAGGUCCAGCAGCCUCGGAUAGAAAGAGCUAUGCUGACAUUGUUCGAUCUUCGUCUCGUCAAGCUCCGUAUGUUUUCAAGAGACUAUCCUACCCUUCGGACUACAACAAAAACUUUGAAUCUCAAUUUUUUCGUGGCCCUAAUCCCAACUCGUCCUCCAUGUCCGCCACGGCUCCCAAUCAAGAGUGUGUUCGUCGCUGGAUCAUCAAGGCUCCGCCUGAUUCUUGGGAGCGUUCUCAGUCUUUGAAAACAGUCAUAACUGCCAAGGCGCAUUCCUUGGCUCGCCCACUUUCAAAAUCUCAUCCGCUGCCUCCUCCUGGGCCGACCCGUCCCGGUGGGCGUGAUGGCCUUUGCCGCAGAUGUCUUGGGCCUGGGCACUCAAGGAAGGAGUGCACCAAUUUGGUAAGAUGCCUGAUAUGCUAUAAUUACGGGCAUACCUCCCGGUCCUGUCUCUCCAAAAUCCACGCCAAACGCCGUUACCGGGUGGUUUCCCGUUCGGAAGCUGGAGGGUCGCUGGGGAACGAUUUAUUCCCGAGCACAUCGCCUCCCCUCGUUCCUUCCGUCCCCCCCCUUUCCACUGUGCCUGCUCCAGUCUCCGAAAACCCCACUCCGCCCUCCAUGGCGAAUUGGCCAUGUGAUCCAGUACCGCACCUGCCUCCAGGCUUCUCCAUCCAAGAACCACCCCUCCGCAAUGGAAUUCGCCAUGAGGUCUUCGUCACGGGUUGCUACUCGCUCUACAAUGAAGACUUGGCGAUCAUCAAGCUGCAGCCUCCAGUGAGCGGGGAUGACUUCGGCGAAGUCAAGACUGCACUCAGGUCAUUCUUUCAGGAUGUCCAUCAGGUUCGCAUCUCUGAGAUCCAGCACUCUGCUCUAGGUGACGCUUAUGUCAGAUUCAGAAGUGCAUUAGAUAGAGAAAGGUUCCUAGGUCCAGUUUUUCCUUUGGGUAACUAUGCUAUGAGAGUUAUCAAACAUGAUGAAGCGGAUAAUGCACGUAGCUUUGAUCUUGAUAGAGAAGCUUGGGUUAUGCUAGUUGGUUUCCCAGAGGAUCUUAAGGACUCUGUUAAUAUUGCUAAGGUUGUCUCUGGUUUUGGUAUUUUGGUGCAAUGGCAUGAACCUGAUAAUCUAGCAAGAGUAGUUGCAAAGGUUUACUUGAAUGAUGAUGCUAAAAUCCCAGAAUCUGUUAAAGUUAAUGCUGGCUUACCCCAAAAGGGCAGAUCCUGGACUGUCCCCUGCUACAUUCUGAAAAGACAACAGGUAUCAGAAGUGCAAGAUGAGGAGGCCUUCAUCAACUUUGGACCAUUGCAUCCUCUGCCGGCUCCCCCUCCUCACUGGAUGGGGCCCGUCCCACCUGCUGACCCAAACACCACUCCCAGAGGAUCCAACGUGGGACCUAAUGCUCACCCCUUUGGAAGUGAUUCAGGUAAUAGGUGGCAACAGCAGCUUGCACCAGUCGAUGAUGAAGGUAUCAAUCAGAGGGUUCAGAACUUGGCUGAGAUUGCCAAUGCUACAUCUAAGAUCGUGUCAGAGAAGGGGACAGAGAAUGUCGAGAUUCCUCUUGAUGUUGCUCCUAAUAUCAAGUCAGUGGUCAUUGGCCCCUCCAAGGCGCAAGGCAAUACACAUACAAGUGAUCCACUGAUCCCUGUGAUCUCAUCUCUCAUCAGGAAGGUAAUCUCUUAUAUACACAAGAAUCAUCACUUCCAAAUCUUUAAGAAUGUCUCCAAUCUUGUUGUUGAUCAUAAUACCCUGAUCCCAUCAUACAUAUCGGACACACCAUUGCUCAUUCAUCUAGCUUUCAUCCUGUUUCCACAGCUCGGUGACAAUACCCUGGAAAAGAUAGCUCUUGUAACACCCUAGGUGUUAAGCAUGCACUUAGUCUUAUCAAAGUCAUGCAUAAGCAUUCCCAUCAAGCAUAAGCAUCAUGAGCAUGUCAUUCUUUUCAAAAUAUGAUUUUAUGUGCUUCAUUUCAUGAGUUUUAAAUAUGCUAAAAAUAUGAUGCUUGCUUCUAAAAAUGUGAAAUAUUCAAACUAGGUUGAUUUAUGUGUAAGAAGAAUUAAGAACAUUUUUGUGUAAUUUUUGGAGCUAUAGAAUUUGAGAAAUGGAAUUUAUACAAAAUAUCCAAAAUGAAUUUAUUUAAAAACCUAGAACUAGGUUUUAAUUUGUAAUUCAAAUUCUACUUAGAAUUUGGUUUUGCUUAUUAAAACAAAGUUGUAGAAAUUUUGUUUUGGAACAACUUUACUUUUGGGAGAAAAUGGUGAAAAUGAUUGGAAAAUGGUCAAAAUGAAUUUGGAAGAGCAUUUAAGAAAAGAAAUUCAAAAAAAAGGGAAAAGGGGGCGCUAGUAGGCCGCGGCCUCACUUCUGGCCCGCUGGCCGAAGCCGGCCCGGCCCGCCCGCGCCUUCCCCUUCCCCUUCCCCUUCCCCUUCCCCGCGCUCGCGCCCGCGUCCGCGCGCGGACGGCCUCGCCGUGCCGCCGUGGCGCGCCGGCAGAGCCUGGCCGCCGCGUGGCGGGCAUGCGACGGCGUGGAGAAGCCCUGGUCGGCCACCAGGAGCCCCCGGUCGCGUCCGCCGAAGCCCCCGCUCCCAUUUGCGCCCUCCAGCUCGCGCUCUCGCCCCUCUGCUCGCUCUCGCGCAGCACUCGCCGCUACGCCGCACGCCAUAGCCGCCGACGGCUCGGAGCUCCUCUCCCGGCCAGCUCCGGCCCUCUCCUUCCUCUUCGCGACCACCACCGGCUCCGCCUCGUCCUCCCGCGUCGCGUGCUUGCGCUCUUCCGCGCUCGGUAAGCCCCGCGUGCCCGCUAGAGCUCACCGGAGUGAGUCGGAGCUCCGACGACCUCUCGGUUCGUACGGUUCUCCCUCUCCUCUCUGUCUCUGCUUACGUUCGAAGGUGCGUUGGAUCCGUCUUGGCCUUGCGCACCUUUUGCGUCGUUAGCUUACGCUCUACCGCCGUGAAACGGCCGGACCACGGCGAGCAGCGCCGCCGCGUCCGCCAUUCGCGACGGCGAGGUAGUUCCAGUGCUCGUCCGGUGCCAAAGAGGGUACGGUUGGACUCGUCUCGUUCUCGCGAAGCCGUAGGUGCUCUCGGUGUCGCCGGAAACCUCACCGGCGGCGAGAUUCCGGCUGAUCCGUGGCCGCGGAAUCACGGGGUGGAUGACAAGUGGGGUCAUCUGACCCGCGUGUCCCACCUGUCAGUGAGUCCGAGGGUUUGAACCCGGGUGCGCUUAGCGUUUUAGGUUGUUUUCCGUUUUAAAAGUAUUUUCAGAAAAUGGGUUAUGUAUUCAAAAAUCCAUAUCUUGAGGAAUAUAGCUCCAAAAAUUGUGAAAUAAAUUUUGGUGUGUUCCCUGUUUCCAGAUCUAUAGCCUAGUAUGUUUGCAUGUCAUGUUUAAGUAACUUUUCUGUAUGAAUAUACUUAAUCCAUGUUUUUGCUAAACUUGGAAAAUGCACAAUAAUUAAAAUAUGACUCAGAAAAAUAUGAAACUUGUUUUAUGGGCUUUGCAUGUAUGUUUACUCACUGGAAAAAUAUGUCUACAUAUUAUUUGGUGUAUAAAUGAAUUUAUGGUAAUUUAAAUGCUUGCAUGGCAGUGAUUUAUGAUUUUUAAUAAUUAAUUGGAUCAUGCAAUAAAUCUGGAAAAUUUUGUGGGUGUUUCUUAUGAUAUUAGACAAAUUGUAAAAAUAUGAAAUCUGUUGUUUGACACUUAUAUCACAGUAGAGUGAUUAUACUUACCCUAUGAAUUAAUCUUGUGAUUUUUGUGGCUCAAAAUAAGUAUCCAAAAAUUAUGAAAAAUUUACAGUAGACUUUAUGCUUAGCUGGUAGUCUCCUGUAAUUUUUAUGGAAAUUAUUGAUGAACAGAAUUGCAUGUGAUUUUUAAUGGGCCUAGAAAUGAAUAAAGAAAAUUAUAAAUUGUUGUAUAUAUAGGUUGGAUGGAAUAAGUUGGGUUUGGUGUAUCUUUGAAGCAUCAUGUGGGUUGCUGGUUGUAUUUGAAAAAUAAUUAUAGAAGAGAAUGCAAUAGAUGUUUGAUUCAGUUAAUUGCUCUUGGAGGUUGUUGACUACCUUGUAAUGAGCAUGACCAAGCAUAUCACUUAUGCAUCAUGUCAUGACUCCUUUAGUACCUUCUCAUACAAGCAUCCACUCGGGCAUCUCGCACUCCACUCAUAAGCACACCUGCAUCAUACAGGCUCGCAGGAGAAUGAAGUGGGACCCGAGGAGCCAGAGGAGAUUCAGAAGCAGGAACCUCCGGAAGCACAGGAACCCGGAGAGGAACUGCAGGAGUGUGCAGAUCACCGACCCAGCACAUUUGAGAAAGGCAAGCCCCAGAGCAUUCUAAAUCUCCCUAUUCUCGCUAACUUAUACAAAGCACUAUACUUGUUCUACUAUAUUGCAUUUAAGUGAUAGGAAUUGCUUGAUACCGUUGAUGCAUAUGUACUCCUUGUUACCCUUACUUGUUCACCUACCUUGUCCUAUGUAGAUAGGCACGGAGUCUAUGCUUAGCUUGCUUAGUCCGGUAGAAGUCGGGUGAUUUCCUGUCACCUGCGAGAUAUAGGUGGUUACCUGCUUGAUUAAGCAUGGAUUGCUUGGGGAAAAGAAUAACCAAGUGUGGAAUGUAACUGGAGACCGGGCAGGGUCUUAUAGUGGGUUGACCAUAGUGCCCCUGCCUGUGUCGAUUAAGGACCGAUCGUUGACGGCCCUCUUGUCAUGUUGAACGCAUGCCCCACCUUUAGCUGGAAGGAUAAGUCGUUCCGACCGCGAAGCCUGAGCACUAUCCGGGCCGGGAAUCGGCCCGAUGUACGCGCUGUAUUGGUGAUGGUUGAGGAGAACGACGAGGGCGCGGCGCGCAACCUUGGUAUACCUUGGAUACCUUGGUCGCCGGAACGGUCCUCGGGUAUGGGCGGUGCCUGUCGAACCCGCGAAUUGGUCCUGGAUAGUGCAAUACGGUGACCUGUAGCUCACUUGAUCAGUGAGUGUGGUUUGUGUGGGGAAUAAACUCGCCAGCUGGUUAGAAAUCGAUUCGAAUCGCCAUCGCUCCUGGAUAGUGAGCACUUGACAUGAGCCCUGUCCUCGUAGUAAGGACUAUGGAACACUUGGGUUAUAAUGAUGAAUGGUUAUAAGAAAUGCUAUGAUGAGGUACUAUCAUAGUCUUAUACUUGCUUGUAAUAGUGCAGGUGCAAACCUAGAUGAUAGGUAAUGAUACUUUCAACUUGAGCAAAUUAAAAGAAGAAAGACUUAUGUAGGUUAUGAUAAUAAAAUCCUGCGGUUUUGCAAAGUGGUUGUCAGCUACCCCACUAUAUAGCCUUCAUGAUCCUUGAUGAGUCUUUAUUUUAAGUUUAUGACGGGUAAGUCUAGCUGAGUACCUUCUCGUACUCAGGGUUCUACUCCCAUGUUGUUUUGCAGAUGGUCAAAUGUACUUUGGUUAUUGCAUCCUCUGUCUGUACCCAGCCAUGGGUGAUGACUAGACCAAGGGCGAUGGUCACUCCAUCUCUUCUUUUGCUUUGGUGGGAAUGACCAAACUAUGGCACUGUAUCAGACUAAGUGCGUGUGUUGUAUUUUCGAACUAUGAAGCUUCCGCUACUUGAAGAACUUGGUUUGUAAUAACUUUAAGUACUCCGAUGUAUUUUAUAAACGUUGUAACCUGGGUGUAUUUGUGGAUGGCGACCGCUAAACUUAUUACGAUCUUGGCUGUUGUACGAUGUGUGGUUUGAAAUCCUUCGAGAUUUCACGGACUACCGGGAUUAUAUGGGCUUAAGCCUGAUGGUUUGACUAUGCAAAUGGUCGUUGUUAGGCUUAAUCUCUUAUAAUUUGGUCGGUUCUGUUACAGCUGGCAUCGGAGCAAGGUUUAGCGAGUUACUGUUCAUAAGUACGUUCUAAACAAAAUCUAAACCGGUCUAAUAAAGGAUUUUAUUAAUUAAUAAUGAUCAAGGUGUUAAACUAAGUUUUGGAAAACUAUCUAGUGUGCCAUGGUCAUAUCCUUUAUGCCCAGUUAAGGACUCUAAGGUGGCUAGUUAAGUACUGACUUGGGGGUUAAUGCAUCAUAUUUUUAUUUCGUCGCUCAUACGGCGUGCAAUAGUAUGAGUGCCAUUCAUUUGAGUGGUAAUGUAUGGAUCCAUUUUUCCUCUACGCCACGGUAAGUGGGAGCUGGGAGAGCAUGAUCGGAUACACUGCCGGUCUAGGGGAGUGUUGCUAGGUACUGUGUCAUGCACACAUGUUUUGGUGUGUCUUGGAAACAGUACCGCAUGUUGGGAAUUCCGUCCUGAGAGGCGAUGCCGUCAAUAGGGCGAUGAUGUGGGUAGUGACACAUCACAUGCAUGGACGGGUGUCAGUGUAUGUGAAGUGCAUAGUUUAAAAUUUUGUUUUGCAUUAUCAUACUGUGGGUGGGCUGAAGUGAGUUUUCUGCAGGUACCCUAACCACGUUCUCGCUUAGAACGCUAGUUACGUUAUGAGAGAACGUUGUGUGCCACCGCAUAUACCGCUUAGUGUUAACCUUUGUUUCUAAGUUUGUGAGAUCGUAAGUUCGUGCAUGCAUCAUGUUCAUGUCAUAUCAUUACUUACUUUCCCCCUUAAUCUAAUCUGUCCCAAUUCUAAAUAAAAUAAUUAAAGGUAAUCCUCGCUCUUACCCACGGUAUUCCAUUUGCAGCAGAUGGCACGCACUAGGCUCACCGCUCGCAAGUCCACUGGUGGGCGGGCCCCUCGCCAUCCGUUGGCAGCUAGGAGCUCACGACAUAAGAGCAAGUUCCUGGAGGAGUUUGGGAUGCCCACUUUGCUUUGGAGGGUGCUCAGUUCGAUGGGGUAUCCCGAAGGAAGGGAGCCUCGCUACUAUUGGGAUAAGGAGCCGCUUGGUGACGAGACCCUGGUGGGGAUCGAGGUAGUUGUCCCUACCAGUGGAGGAGACCCUGCUUGGGGCGGCUGGGUGUACGAGUCUCGAGGUGUCACACCUUUCCACGGUGCCAGCAGGGCAGCUUUCGCAGUUCUGAGGGACCUCAUGGAGAGGUUUCCACAGGAGCUGGCCCACGCCUUCGCUGGGGUGUUUCCCCGGGGUGACCCCUACACUUCGGUGUGGGAUCAGUCUGAGGUGAAUGCUCUAGAGAGGAGUGCGGAUGAGGACCAGCACAGUGAUGGUGCAGCUAUGAGUGCCAUGUACGCGUUGAUGAAGACCUAUGGAGGCCUGGAGCGUUGUUUGGGUCGUUUGUCCGGGUCUCUUCUCACCGUCCAGGAUGAGAAGCGUCAGUUGCAGCGUGACUUUGACUCUGAGGUUGAGAGGCUACAGGCAGAGUUGGCCCGUGUGACCACAGAGAGACCAGGCAGUCUAGAAGAACAGUGAGCUGAGCCAGGACCUGCUUGCAGUGCGAGAGCAGAGGGACAGGGUGACUACUGCUCACAGGAACUGUGAGCGCAUGCUAGUCCAUGUGCUUGGACAAAGGAAUGAAGCCUGGCAUGAGGAGGACACUUUGAGGGCCCGACAGCUAGAGCUAGAGCAGCAGCUAGCUAAUGCUGAGGAGUACAAUGAGAACUUGCAUGAGGAGAUCCACCAGCUGCAUAACCAGCUCCACCCUCACCACCUGCCUGGAGCAGCAGAGCUAGACUCUGAGGACGAGAUGGACGCGGAUCCCGAGAUCGGAGCAGCUGCAAGUGGAGAUGAGGAUGAGGAUGGCUCCGGCAUGGACAGUGACCAUAGCGAGUAGAUACUAGGGCUCUAGAGCUAGCCCUUCUUCUUGUGUUGUUGUAUGUUGCAUGGCAUGUCGUGUACUUUUGGAUCUGGGCUAUGUAAGACUUUAUGAGUAAAUGCUGAAAGUCCAGUGUAUGUAUGCUGGCAAGUUGGAUGUACGCGAAUCUUGUUGCGUGAAUGUUGAGUAAUCUGUUCGUGAUGUUGUGCGUAGAUGAUGAAUUGUUGUGACCCUGUUUAUUGUGCGAAUUUAUUCCCUCAGUAAAUUCAGUGCGGCAUGAUUCUACACAUUUCUACCGUUGCUGGCAACUCCUAACGAUUGCUUAUCAUUGACGUAUGCAGAUGGUGCAAACACGUGGCGGGGGUAACAGCAAUCCGGGCCUUGGAGCAGGUACAUCCGGAGGUGGGGCUCCACGGAAUGAGGACAGAGUACCAACACCGCCAGCACCACCACCUCCUCCAUACACCGCGGACGUGUUUUUCGCGCAGUUUCUGAGGAGCCAACGCAACAUGGAACAGAUGCAACGCAACAUGGAAGAGGCUCUGCGCAACAUAGCUGACAACACCCGUCGUGGGGAUAACCAGGGCGGCCGUGAAGUCAACCAGUACAGUUCGUUCAAGGACUUCAUGGAUACCAAGCCACCGAUCUUCAAAGAGGCUUUGGAACCGCUCGAAGCAGAUGAGUGGAUCAACACUAUGGAGCAGAAGUUUCGUCUUCUCCGAAUGAUAGAAGAACUUAAGGUUGAGUAUGCGGCGCAUCAGUUGCAAGGACCCGCCGGGAAAGCUGUGGUCCCAUCACCGUACCACCUACCCAGAGGGGACCCCAAUUACCUGGAACCGUUUCACCACAGCUUUUCGGGGAAAUUACAUUCCUCCGGGUGUGAUUGAAAUGAAGGUUGGGGAGUUCAUGAGGCUGUCCCAGGGGACGAAAUCGGUAAAGGAGUAUCUACAUACUUUCAAUAAUCUCGCUCGCUAUGCCCCUGAGUUUGUAAACACGGAGGCUAAGAAGAUUGCUAGUUUCCAGAGGAGUUGAAUCCAAAGAUGCUGAAGACCAUGGGUACAGGGGCCAGGGCUACCUUCAAUGCCUAUAUCAGUGACUGUCUGACCCAGGAGAACAAUAACAACAACUACAGCGCAUCCAAGUCACGUAAGAGGGCUUUUGAAGCCGGAUCAUCUCAGUCCAGGGCACCAGUGGUAGGGCGACAGCAGUAUCGUCCUCCUGCCCCAGGUGCUAGGUUCCGACCGCCGCAAAGAAGGAACACCGGGCAUCCAACACAGUAGAAGCCGUACAAGGUGGCGAUAGCUCCUGCCAAGCCAAAGGCAAUUCAAGCUGCCGCACCUGCCGUCAACAAUGCGCCCAAGGGUCCGUGCUAUAACUGCCACAAGAUGGGGCACUUUGCUAAGGAAUGUCCCUACCUCAAGAGGCAGCAGCCAACCUAUCCAGCUCGUGUGCACCAUACCUCGAUCGAGGAGAUCCCGGAAGGAGAACCGGUAACAGCUGGUAUGUUUCCUGUCAACCAACAUCUCGCAGUUGUUUUGUUUGAUUCUGGAUCAUCGCAUUCAUUCAUGAGCCAAGCAUUUGCACAAAAGCAUGAUCAGUCAGUUAUUGAGUUAGGUUAUGGCUAUCGCAUCAGCUCAGCCAGAGCCGAUGUGUUGACUAAUAAAACAGUAACAGGAGUUACUUUGGAUAUCAGUGGCCGGAGGUUUCGUGUAAACCUUGUGGUCAUGCCAGGACUGGUUUUGGAUGUCAUCAUUGGAAUGAACAAGAUGACUGACUGGGGCGCGGCUAUAGAUGCCGGGAAUAGAACUCUUUCCCUCAGAGACCCACAAGGGAAGGGUGUGCUUCAGGUCAAGCUACCCAGAUGGUUGGACUUCGCCAGUCUUUCGUGUGCAGUACAAGUAGUUCCACUAGAACACAUACCCGUGGUAUGUGAGUUCCCUGAUGUGUUUCCUGAGGAUUUACCAGGACUUCCCCUAGAUAGGGAAGUGGAGUUUGCAAUCGAGUUGAUACCGGGUACAGCACCUAUGUCUAGAAGGCCGUAUCGGAUGCCACCAAACGAACUCGCUGAGUUGAAGAAUCAACUAAAAGAAUUACUGGAUAAAGGGUUCAUCCGGCCAAGCUUGUCGGAAUGGGGUUGUCCAGCGUUGUUUGUGAAAAAGAAGGAUCAGUCAUUGCGCAUGUGCGUGGACUAUCGUCCACUCAAUGCAGUGACAAUUAAGAAUAAGUAUUCUUUACCAAGGAUUGACAUCCUGUUUGAUCAGUUGUCCAAGGCAAGAGUGUUUUCUAAGAUAGAUUUGAGGUCUGGAUAUCACCAAUUCAAGAUUCGUCCGCAAGAUAUCCCGAAGACUGCUUUUUCCACCAAAUAUGGGUUGUAUGAGUAUCUUGUCAUGUCCUUUGGAUUGACAAAUGCUCCUGCAUACUUUAUGUAUCUGAUGAAUUCGGUCUUUAUGCCAGAAUUGGAUAAGUUUGUUGUGGUGUUUAUCGAUGAUAUCCUGGUUUAUUCAGAAAAUGAGCAAGAUCACGCCGAACAUCUGAGAGUUGUGCUGACACGAUUACGAGAGCAUCAGUUAUAUGCCAAGUUCAGCAAGUGUGAAUUCUGGUUAAAGAGAGUUCCUUUCCUAGGGCACAUUCUGUCUGAAGAAGGGAUUGCCGUGGAUCCAUCCAAAGUGCAAGAGGUUAUGGACUGGAAGGCACCAACUUCUGUCUCGGAAGUUAGAAGUUUUCUUGGUCUGGCCGACUAUUAUCGUCGUUUCAUACCUGACUUCUCCAAGAUUGCUAAGCCAAUGACAAGUUUGCUACAAAAGGAUCAUAAGUUUGUCUAGACGGAAGGGUGUGAGUUAGCCUUCCGCACCUUGCGAAAGUUGCUAACCACUGCCCCCGUUCUGGCACAACCUAAUAUAGAAAAGCCGUUUGAUGUGUUUUGUGACGCAUCGAAGAGUGGCCUGGGGUGUGUGUUGAUGCAAGAUGGCAGGGUGAUAGCUUAUGCUUCCCGACAGUUGAGAAAGCACGAAGUCAACUACCCAACGCACGACCUCGAGUUAGCCGCAGUAGUGCACGCUUUGAAGAUUUGGAGACAUUAUCUGCUGGGAAAUAAGUGUCACAUUUAUACCGAUCAUAAGAGUUUGAAGUAUAUCUUCACUCAGUCCGAGCUAAAUAUGAGGCAACGACGGUGGUUAGAGUUAAUCAAGGACUAUGAUCUGGAAGUUCACUAUCAUCCGGGCAAGGCUAAUGUGGUAGCAGAUGCGUUGAGUCGUAAACCGCACUAUCAAGUGGUUCAACCGUUGUUUGAAGAUGGGUUCAACCUUAUGCAUCCUGAGGUCUUAUGUCACAUACAACUCAGUUGUUCACUCGAGAGUCAAGUCAUUGAAGGACAGAAAACAGACAAGGGUAUUUUCCACAUCAAAGAGAAGAUCAAAGAUGACCCAAAAACUCAAUUUCGAGUUGAUGAGAAAGGGGUACUGUGGUUUCAACAUCGGUUAGUAGUUCUGAAAGAUCGGGAAUUGAAGAAUCGCAUCAUGGAUGAAGCUCAUCUCUCUAAGCUUUCUAUUCAUCCUGGCAGUAGCAAAAUGUAUCAAGAUCUAAGACCCCACUUUUGGUGGACCAAGAUGAAGAAAGAAAUAGCCGCAUAUGUAGCCCGUUGCGACACGUGUUGCAGAGUUAAGGCCAUCCAUAUGAAGCCUGCAGGUCUGUUACAACCAUUAUCCGUUCCAGAGUGGAAAUGGGAAGAGGUCAGUAUGGACUUUAUCACGGGUUUACCAACAACAAGGAAGGGGAAUGACUCGAUUUGGGUCAUCAUGGAUCGACUGACCAAAUCGGCCCAUUUCAAUCCUGUGAAGACCCGCUACCGACCUCCUGAGUAUGCCGAUAUAUAUAUGGCUGAGAUUGUCAAGUUGCAUGGUAUUCCCAAGACCAUCAUAUCAGAUAGAGGACCGCAAUUCACCGCUCACUUCUAGGAGCGCAUGCAUAAGAGUUUGGGAACCAGUCUGAUAAGAAGCACGGCGUACCAUCCCCAGACUUCGGGUCAAACAGAAAGGCUAAACCAAGUAUUAGAAGAUAUGCUGAGGGCCUGUGUGCUAUCGUCCAAGGGAUCAUGGGAGUCAUGGCUACCUCUGGCUGAAUUCUCCUACAAUAACAGUUAUCAAGAGAGCAUCAAGAUGGCCCGGUUCGAAGCUCUGUAUGGUCGGAGAUGUAGAACUCCGUUGAACUGGGUUGAACCGGGUGAAAGAAGAUACUAUGGUAUCGACUUUGUGAAUGAGGCAGAGAAGAAGGUACAAAUCAUACAGCAGCAUAUGCAAGCAGCACAAUCACGACAAAAGAGUUAUGCCGAUAAGAGAAGGAGGCCACUUGAAUUCAAUAUAGGUGACUAUGUGUACCUCAAGGUUACGCCAAUGAAGAAAGUUCAAUGUUUCCGAGUUCGAAGCAAGCUUGCACCCAGAUAUGUGGGACCGUACCAAGUGCUGGAGAGGAAAGGCCCAGUGGCCUACAAGAUCCAGUUACCUGAAGAGUUGAGCUCGAUCUUUCCGGUCUUCCAUGUGUCGCAACUGCGGAAAUGUCUGAAGGUACCUGAACAAAGAAUUGAACCUCGAGGAAUCAAGAUAAAAGCAGACCUAGAGUAUAAAGAGCAGCCAGUGGGGAUUGUGGAUACCAAGGAGCGAGUAACCCGAAACAAAAUUGUCAGAACAUAUAAGGUGGUGUGGAGUCAUCAUGACGAUAGGGAUGCCACCUGGGAAACAGAGGAUUACUUGAAAACAGUUUAUCCAAAAUUUCAUAAGAAAUGGUUAGUAAUCCAAAAUCUCGGGACGAGAUUUCCCUAAGGGGGGAAGGGCUAUAACACCCUAGGUGUUAAGCAUGCACUUAGUCUUAUCAAAGUCAUGCAUAAGCAUUCCCAUCAAGCAUAAGCAUCAUGAGCAUGUCAUUCUUUUCAAAAUAUGAUUUUAUGUGCUUCAUUUCAUGAGUUUUAAAUAUGCUAAAAAUAUGAUGCUUGCUUCUAAAAAUGUGAAAUAUUCAAACUAGGUCGAUUUAUGUGUAAGAAGAAUUAAGAACAUUUUUGUGAAAUUUUUGGAGCUAUAGAAUUUGAGAAAUGGAAUUUAUACAAAAUAUCCAAAAUGAAUUUAUUUAAAAACCUAGAACUAGGUUUUAAUUUGUAAUUCAAAUUCUACUUAGAAUUUGGUUUUGCUUAUUAAAACAAAGUUGUAGAAAUUUUGUUUUGGAACAACUUUACUUUUGGGAGAAAAUGGUGAAAAUGAUUGGAAAAUGGUCAAAAUGAAUUUGGAAGAGCAUUUAAGAAAAGAAAUUCAAAAAAAAAGGGAAAAGGGGGCGCUAGCAGGCCGCGGCCUCACUUCUGGCCCGCUGGCCGAAGCCGGCCCGGCCCGCCCGCGCCUUCCCCUUCCCCUUCCCCUUCCCCGCGCUCGCGCUCGCGUCCGCGCGCGGACGGCCUCGCCGUGCCGCCGUGGCGCGCCGGUAGAGCCUGGCCGCCGCGUGGCGGGCAUGCGACGGCGUGGAGAAGCCCUCGUCGGCCACCAGGAGCCCCCGGUCGCGUCCGCCGAAGCCCCCACUCCCAUUUGCGCCCUCCACCUCGCGCUCUCGCCCCUCUGCUCGCUCUCGCGCAGCACUCGCCGCUCCGCCGCACGCCAUAGCCGCCGACGGCUCGGAGCUCCUCUCCCGGCCAGCUCCGGCCCUCUCCUUCCUCUUCGCGACCACCACCGGAUCCGCCUCGUCCUCCCGCGUCGCGUGCUUGCGCUCUUCCGCGCUCGGUGAGCCCCGCGUGCCUGCUAGAGCUCACCGGAGUGAGUCGGAGCUCCGGCGACCUCUCGGCUCGUACGGUUCUCCCUCUCCUCUCUGUCUCUGCUUACGUUCGUAGGUGCGUUGGAUCCGCCUUGGCCUUGCGCACCUUUUUCCGUCGUUAGCUUACGCUCUACCGCCGUGAAAAGGCCGGACCACGGCGAGCAGCGCCGCCGCGUCCGCCAUUCGCGACGGCGAGGUAGUUCCAGUGCUCGUCCGGUGCCAAAGAGGGUACGGUUGGACUCGUCUCGUUCUCGCGAAGCCGUAGGUGCUCUCGGUGUCGCCGGAAACCUCACCGGCGGCGAGAUUCCGGCUGAUCCGUGGCCGCGGAAUCACGGGGUGGAUGACAAGUGGGGUCAUCUGACCCGCGUGUCCCACCUGUCAGUGAGUCCGAGGGUUUGAACCCGGGUGCGCUUAGCGUUUUAGGUUGUUUUCCGUUUUAAAAGUAUUUUCAGAAAAUGGGUUAUGUAUUCAAAAAUCCAUAUCUUGAGGAAUAUAGCUCCAAAAAUUGUGAAAUAAAUUUUGGUGUGUUCCCUGUUUCCAGAUCUAUAGCCUAGUAUGUUUGCAUGUCAUGUUUAAGUAACUUUUCUGUAUGAAUAUACUUAAUCCAUGUUUUUGCUAAACUUGGAAAAUGCACAAUAAUUAAAAUAUGACUCAGAAAAAUAUGAAACUUGUUUUAUGGGCUUUGCAUGUAUGUUUACUCACUGGAAAAAUAUUUCUACAUAUUAUUUGGUGUAUAAAUGAAUUUAUGGUAAUUUAAAUGCUUGCAUGGCAGUGAUUUAUGAUUUUUAAUAAUUAAUUGGAUCAUGCAAUAAAUCUAGAAAAUUUUGUGGGUGUUUCUUAUGAUAUUAGACAAAUUGUAAAAAUAUGAAAUCUGUUGUUUGACACUUAUAUCACGGUAGAGUGAUUAUACUUACCCUAUAAAUUAAUCUUGUGAUUUUUGUGGCUCAAAAUAAGUAUCCAAAAAUUAUGAAAAAUUUACAGUAGACUUUAUGCUUAGCUGGUAGUCUCCUGUAAUUUUUAUGGAAAUUAUUGAUGAACAGAAUUGCAUGUGAUUUUUAAUGGGCCUAGAAAUAAAUAAAGAAAAUUAUAAAUUGUUGUAUAUAUAGGUUGGAUGGAAUAAGUUGGGUUUGGUGUAUCUUUGAAGCAUCAUGUGGGUCGCUGGUUGCAUUUGAAAAAUAAUUAUAGAAGAGAAUGCAAUAGAUGUUUGAUUCAGUUAAUUGCUCUUGGAGGUUGUUGACUACCUUGUAAUGAGCAUGACCAAGCAUAUCACUUAUGCGUCAUGUCAUGACUCCUUUAGUACCUUCUCAUACAAGCAUCCACUCGGGCAUCUCGCACUCCACUCAUAAGCACACCUGCAUCAUACAGGCUCGCAGGAGAACGAAGUGGGACCCGAGGAGCCAAAGGAGAUUCAGGAGCAGGAACCUCCGGAAGCACAGGAACCCGGAGAGGAACUGCAGGAGUGUCCAGAUCACCGACCCAACACAUUUGAGAAAGGCAAGCCCCGAAGCAUUCUAAAUCUCCCUAUUCUCGCUAACUUAUACAAAGCACUAUACUUGUUCUACUAUAUUGCAUUUAAGUGAUAGGAAUUGCUUGAUACCGUUGAUGCAUAUGUACUCCUUGUUACCCUUACGCGUUCACCUACCUUGUCCUAUGUAGAUAGGCACGGAGUCUAUGCUUAGCUUGCUUAGUCCGGUAGAAGUCGGGUGAUUUCCUGUCACCUGCGAGAUAUAGGUGGUUACCUGCUUGAUUAAGCAUGGAUUGCUUGGGGAAAAGAAUAACCAAGUGUGGAAUGUAACUGGAGACCGGGCAGGGUCUUAUAGUGGGUUGACCAUAGUGCCCCUGCCUGUGUCGAUUAAGGACCGAUCGUUGACGGACCUCUUGUCAUGUUGAACGCAUGCCCCACAUUUAGCUGGAAGGAUAAGUCGUUCCGACCGCGAAGCUUGAGCACUAUCCGGACCGGGAAUCGGCCCGAUGUACGCGCUGUAUUGGUGAUGGUUGAGGAGAACGACGAGGGCGCGGCACGCAACCUUGGUAUACCUUGGAUACCUCGGUCGCCGAAACGGUCCUCGGGUACUGGCGGUGCCUGUCGAACCCGCGAAUUGGUCCUGGAUAGUGCAAUACGGUGACCUGUAGCUCACUUGAUCAGUGAGUGUGGUUUGUGUGGGGAAUAAACUCGCCAGCUGGUUAGAAAUCGAUUCGAAUCGCCAUCGCUCCUGGAUAGUGAGCACUUGACAUGAGCCCUGUCCUCGUAGUAAGGACUAUGGAACACUUGGGUUAUAAUGAUGAAUGGUUAUAAGAAAUGCUAUGAUGAGGUACUAUCAUAGUCUUAUACUUGCUUGUAAUAGUGCAGGUGCAAACCUAGAUGAUAGGUAAUGAUACUUUCAACUUGAGCAAAUUAAAAGAAGAAAGACUUAUGUAGGUUAUGAUAAUAAAAUCCUGCGGUUUUGCAAAGUGGUUGUCAGCUACCCCACUAUAUAGCCUUCAUGAUCCUUGAUGAGUCUUUAUUUUAAGUUUAUGACGGGUAAGUCUAGCUGAGUACCUUCUCGUACUCAGGGUUCUACUCCCAUGUUGUUUUGCAGAUGGUCAAAUGUACUUUGGUUAUUGCAUCCUCUGUCUGUACCCAGCCAUGGGUGAUGACUAGACCAAGGGCGAUGGUCACUCCAUCUCUUCUUUUGCUUUGGAGGGAAUGACCAAACUAUGGCACUGUAUCAGACUAAGCGCGUGUGUUGUAUUUUCGAACUAUGAAGCUUCCGCUACUUGAAGAACUUGGUUUGUAAUAACUUUAAGUACUCCGAUGUAUUUUAUAAACGUUGUAACCUGGGUGUAAUUGUGGAUGGCGACCGCUAAACUUAUUACGAUCUUGGCUGUUGUACGAUGUGUGGUUUGAAAUCCUUCGAGAUUUCACGGACUACCGGGAUUAUAUGGGCUUAAGCCUGAUGGUUUGACUAUGCAAAUGGUCGCUGUUAGGCUUAAUCUCUUAUAAUUUGGUCGGUUCUGUUACAGCUCUGGAAUAUUUGGAAGACGAGGAAGCAGAUGAGGAACCAGAGGAAGAUCCAGAAAUGACAGUCAUGAUGAAGAAGGAUGAGGACACAGUGAUGGAGAAAAAGGAAGACUCAGACGUGGAGAUGCUAGAUGCCCCACCCCCUGGGUUCACUGCCACAAAAAAGAAAAAGACUCUCAAAAUCAAAGAAAAACUGGAUGAUGAGUUUCUGAGGCGCAGCAAGAGAGUCUCCCAGAAGCUCGGAGGAUUCAAGAAUGAAGAAAGUGCUAAAAAGCAUAAAGAGGAGCAGAAAGGCAUCAAGACUCCUAGGGAGGCACAGAAGAACAAGAAAACCAAGGCUUCUAAGAAGGGGAAGAAACUAGAAGUUGGAGACAAUGCCCUGGAAGAAGACCCCAUCCCCCUUGCUGUUAGCCCACCGGAGGGGGCUCCCCACCUCCCCAAACAUGUACUCGAAGGCAUUGGGGAGGGCUUCCUGCAGAUACAACCUUCGGUCGUGUCUGCUGCACUGCUGGACAAUGACGACCUCGAUGAAUAGAACCCCCAAGAAGUUGGUUGUAGGGCCAUCCAUAGCUAUGGUCUCUUUUGCUUUCUGUUUCGCUUUUGUUGUUCCUAGCCAGUGUAUGUAUUGGCCCAAUAACCACACAAGAUGUAACCGGUGUCUCAUGUCUUUGUGGAACGUGUGGAAACUGAACCUUCUUAUCCAUCGUUUAUUGUUCAAAGUUUACUCAGGUGGCCCUUUUGUCCCUUUCAGAGCUUUAGAUCUGUUCCACUUAAUGUAUCUAUUUGCACUCUGUCUGUUUGACAUUUGCAUGUCCAAACUAACUCCCCCCCACCCGUUGGUAUCCAUGAACAACGAAAGUAACAAUAACAGAUCCAUCAAAAUCCUUUUUUGGAACAUUAGAGGACUUAACUCGCAAGAAAAAUGGGAUGCAGUUAGAGAUAAAAUCAGUGAAAGUGCUUGUCAAGUUUUAUGCUUACAGGAAACUAAGAGGGAAACUUUCGACUAUUUCUAUAUCAAGAGAUUUUGUCCUAAACCUCUGGAUCAGUUUGCUUUCUUCCCAUCGGUUGGAGCCUCUGGAGGUCUCCUCACUGUUUGGAAUAGUAGUAUCUUUGUUGGCUCCAUUGUUCAAAUGAAUUCCUAUGCUAUCACUGUCAAACUAGUAUGCAAACUAGAUAACAAGACUUUUCAUGUCACCAACAUUUAUGGACCUGCAAAUCCUGCCCAGAAGCUUGGGUUUGUCACCUGGCUAAUAAACUUAGAUUCUUCUGAAUUUGAUGACUGGGUACUAGGGGGAGAUUUCAACCUGAUCAGAAACCCAGAGAAGGAACAAGCCAGGUGGAGACAUGGGCGAAAUGAACAUGUUUAAUGAACUUAUCUGUGACCUUGAUCUUGUGGACAUCCCUUUUAGUGGCAGAAAUUUCUCCUGGAGCAACAUGCAGGCUGAUCCCCUCUUGGUCAAACUAGACUGGGUCUUCACUAAUUCCAGCAGGACCCUGUCCCACCCGACAACCUUUGUGCAACCUCUAUCAAGACCCAUCUCAGAUCAUAUUCCUUAUGUUCUGCAUAUGUUCUGAUUUGAAAAUUUUUGGAUAGAACACCCUGGUUUCAUGGACAUUGUAAAACUACACUGGGAUAAUUCCCCUGUCUAUGCAAAUGCAGCCAAAAACCUUUCUAGUAAGUUGAAACAGGUCAGAAGUGGCUUAAGGAAAUGGAGCAAAUCCUUGUCGAACCUGAACAAACUUAUUUUCAACUGUAACUGGGUUCUUUAGCUCCUGGAUGGUCUAGAAGACCAAAGGAACCUUUCCAGACUAGAAAAUUCCUUAAGAAGAUUGGUCAAACAUCAUCUCUCCCAGUUGCUUGACUCCAAGAGAAAAUACUGGAAACAGAGAAGGUCAAACAUCAUCUCUCCCAGUUGCUUGACUCCAAGAGAAAAUACUGGAAACAGAGAAACACCAUAAGAUGGGUUAAGUUUGGUGAUGAAAACACACAGUUCUUCCACUCCCUAGCUACCAUCACUCACAAACGAAACUUCAUAGUCUCUCUAUCUAAUGGUGAGGGUGACCUUAUAACAGACCACGAACAAAAGGCCAUCCUCAUUUGGAAUGCUUUCAGAGAGAGACUUGGAGUCAGUGAUUUUGAAGGUAUUAGCUAUGAGGUUGGAGAACUCCUUCAAGAACAUGACCUAACAGAACUGGAUGUUGAGUUCUCGAAUGAAGAGAUGGACACAGUCAUCAAAACCCUUCCCAACAAUCAUGCCCCUGGACCAGAUGGUUUCAAUGGGUGUUUCAUCAAGAAAUGUUGGAAUAUAAUUAAAGAAGAUUUCUCUAGGACAAUGAAGGAUUUCUGCAACUUUAACACAGACCUAAGCAGUAUCAACACUUCCCUCAUUGUCCUCAUUCCAAAAAAGGACAAUGCUGAAACGGUCAAUGAUUAUAGGCCAAUCUCCCUUCUAAAUUAUUCUCUGAAAUGCAUAACCAAGAUCCUCUCCUCCAGACUACAGUCAAAGAUUCUGCAACUUGUUCACACUAAUCAGUAUGGCUUCAUCAAAGGAAGAACCAUCCAUGACUGCCUUGCUUGGUCCUUUCAAUUCCUUCACCUUUGCCAUCACUCGAAAAAGGAGAUUAUCAUCCUGAAAUUAGACUUUGAGAAGGCUUUUGACAGAGUAGAGCACCAGGCUAUUCUGGAGAUCUUAAAGCAUAAAGGCAUUUCUGAGAAAUGGGUAAGUUGGCUUCAGAACCUCCUAAGUACUGCCAGCUCUGCUGUUCUCCUAAAUGGUAUACCAGGAAAGAAUUUCAAAUGCAAAAGGGGAGUAAGACAAGGAGAUCCCCUCUCUCCCCUUCUCUUUGUUCUAGCAGCUGACCUUCUCCAGUCCAUCAUAAAUAAAGCUUGGCAAGCUGGCAGCCUAAAGCAUCCUCUCAGUGAUGACUUCCAAGAUGAUUUCCCUAUUGUGCAGUACGCUGAUGAUACCCUCCUCAUCCUCCCUGGUGACGCCAGAUCUCUUUUCUGUCUGAAAGGACUACUAAGAUCUCUCGCUGACUCGACUGGACUGCACGUUAACUUUGACAAAUCCUUUAUGGUGCCAAUCAAUAUGAGUCUAGAAAGAGUCACUCACCUAGCCAAUACAUUUGGCUGUCAGGUUGGAGAAAUGCCGUUCACAUAUCUCGGACUCCCUCUUGGAACGACAAAACCAUCUAUCACCGAAUUUGCCCCCCUCAUUACCAAAAUGGAAAGAAGACUCACAGGUAUCAGCAAAUUCCUGUCCUACAAUGCCAGACUUAUAUUAGUGAACUCUGUCUUCUCUGCCUUACCAACAUUUUACAUGUGCACCACAAAGCUGCCCCCAGUAGUUAUCAAGCAAAUUGAUAUCUACAGAAAACAUUGCCUUUGGGACAAAGGAGAAAUAAAUAGGAAAGGAAAAUGUCUAGUAGCUUGGGAGACUGCCUGUAAACCCAAAGAUCAAGGGGGCCUGGGUAUCAUUGACAUUCAGAAACAAAAUGAAGCCCUGUUACUAAAAUUCUUAGAUAAAUUUUAUAACAGAGCAGAUCUACCAUGGGUCAAGCUAACAUGGAGCAAACUGUAUGCAAAUGAGUCCAUUCCUCCACAUGCAAGAAGCCCUGUCGGCUCCCCCUGGUGGAAAGACAUAAUGAAACUCUUUCCAAUUUUCCAAAAUAUCUCCAUUUGCACACCCAAUAAAGGAAACUCAAUUCUCCUUUGGUCAGACAAUUGGAUGGAUCAAACAGCAAAGGACACAUUUCCACAACUUUAUUCCUUCACUAGAAAACCCAAAUGCUCCAUAAAGCUCUUCCUCAACCAACCAUUGGAGUUUUUAUUCAGUCCCCUACCUCUACCGCCUAUUGCUGCAGAUCAGCUUGAGGAACUUCAAACUAUCAUACACAACAGACACUGGGACGUGAACCUCAAUGAUAUCUGGUCCUACAAUUGGGGAACUUCAAACUACAGCAGUAAGAAAGCCUAUGCCCUUUUCAUCAAAUCUACCCCUGACUAUCCACUCUUCAAAUGGCUCUGGAAAUCAGGCAACCUGGGAAACCAUAAAUUCUUCUUCUGGUUGCUGUUGAGGGAUCGUCUGAACACCAGGAACCUCCUAUGCAGAAAACACAUGCACCUGGAUGACUAUACAUGUUUGAUGUGCUCUCAGGGGUGCGAAGAGACCAGUUUUCACUUAUUUUUUGAAUGCAGCUUCAGUAAAGAAUGUUGGGAGACAAUCCCCAUUUCCUGGGACUUCAACCUCAAUCCUGUGGACAUGAUUGUACGAGCAUGCUUACAAUUUGGCAACCCCAUCUUUAGAGAAAUCCUCAUUACUGCCUGCUGGAUCAUCUGGAACACAAGAAAUGGCAUUAUAUUUGACCAUGGUCAGAAGAAUAUACAUGUAUGGAAACAACAGUUCAGAGAGGAAAUUGCUUUAGUUUGUAACAAAGCAAGACCCAGUGUUAGCUCUGCCCUUAGUAGCUGGAGAGAGUCUUACUUGUAACAUUCUUGAUUUUUCUGUUUUGGGCGUGCGGCCCUGUAAUCUUUGGCUCCUGAUUUUGUAACGAUUCCUUUAUUUAUAUUGAAAUACAAAAAAAAGGGGUGGGAAGCUCCCCCACCAUUUCAUCAAAAAAAAAAACAUGCCAGGCAACACAUUAAUAAUUUCUCCCUACUGUUCCAGAAGCAAGCAAAAAGCCAGCAGCAAGGAAUAUUCAGCUAUAGCUCAAGAAAAGGUCUUAAUUCUUUACUAAGAAAAGGUCUUGAUUCUUUACUAAGACAAGGCAAGAAAUUAUUUCAGUAGAAGAAAAUGUUGCUUGUCAAUGUUGUUGUAAGUUCAAAUUUUAGAUUUGUGAUACAAGUUAAAAGGUUACCGAAUUAAGUGGAAAAUAUGAAUUAUUAGAGUGGUGCUAGCUGCAAAACCUAAAUGGUCACUCUAAUUAAGUGCGAUAUAGGUUUUUUCCUAAUAAUACAAUACUCUAAUUUUGCCAUGCUAAGAGAUUAAAUACAUUGACUACACUGAGUAUAACUAGUAUAUUGCCCGUGCUAACGCUACGGCGACUGUUCAAUUAUGUUCAAAUUAAAACCAGGUCUCUUUGACAUAGAGGCCACCAAUUUAAUUAAGAGAUGAUCAGUAGAUCACUCAAAACAUUGCCUAUAUUUUGACCUUGGUUAUUACAGUCCACAAGACCUCACACAGCUGCCUCAGAUCCGCGCGCCAACAGACCUCACAUCGAGGCAUUGCCGCUCCAUGGUGCAUCAGCUAGCGCCGCCGGUCACCGCGGCUCAGCCAUACACGCCGCACCCCGCCUUCUCCGCCUGCUACGCAGGCCACACCUUGCCUAGCCACGGGCUGCCGCGGCGUCGACGCCUCAGCCUAGCCCUAGCGCGCAGGUUAGCAACGUGUUGGCAGCGACGGUGGCCUCCCCAGCUUCGCGCCCCAUCCGCCACGGCUCCCCACGACCAGAAAAGCAGCAACAUUCAUUAAGUAAACUUAAAGUUAGUGCAGGGAGAGGGACCAUACCUUCAAGGUUGAUCUCCAUAUUUGUGCUGUGAGCUUCAAGUUGGUAAUGACAACAGCCUUCGUGAAAUGUGUCAAUGCUGCCAAAGAUAACAUAAUCACCAAGCUGCUAUACCAACGAUGUGUAAAAAAAUGUUCUCCGAACUAUCUAGACACAGAAACAACAAUAGCUACUGAAACACUGAAACUGAAACUAAGAAUAAGUGCUACUGUCGAACACUGUCAGAGCAAGAGAGUUAAUCAACUCAAAGUUUCAAUUGCAGCACAGAAUCACUAAAUUAAUAAGGUAAUGCAAAUUAAAAUAUGCAAAUGAUUACUUGGAGAAUAAUGACAGUAGCAAGAAAGUCUGAACCUUUGGUGAAAAGGUGCUACAAAUUACCUGCUUGCCUGAUGGACUGCUUCUUUCUCCCAUCAUUGCUCCCUGCCGAGGUGACCAGGACAUGCUGCAAAUGGAUUAAUGUGCUGCUGAACGGAACAAGUUACACAACUGUUAAACUUAAGAACUACUACAACAUAUCCAGAGAAUAAAUUAGACAAGAUAUUCAGGGAAGCACAAGUUGCAUCAGCAAGCACCGAAGAAAAGAAUACCUGUACCUGAUCGCUGAUCCACUGUCAAGAAGAAAAGGCGCCAUCCCCUGGCCCAUAAGCCAUCGUUUGGAUCUCCAGUGCUCCUCGUCCUCCAUGGCCACGCCCCCGG
RNAcentral lists this long non-coding RNA (24126 nucleotides) under Sorghum bicolor (sorghum). RNAcentral's name for it is "long non-coding RNA (SBIC_LNC004408)". The record is from RNAcentral. Lineage: Eukaryota; Viridiplantae; Streptophyta; Magnoliopsida; Poales; Poaceae.